This 959-nucleotide long non-coding RNA is filed under the name Gallus gallus (chicken). The record is from RNAcentral. Lineage: Eukaryota; Metazoa; Chordata; Aves; Galliformes; Phasianidae.
GGGGGGGAAGGAGAGAGGCUCCCUGGGCAAAGCACCUGUCCCGUUAGCAGGGGCACAGUCACGUUUGAGUUGAGAGCUGCCGGCGCCUUUGGUGACCAGGCUGGCGUUGUGCUGGGCGACCUCCCCGUAAGCGGGGCUCGGGUCUUUGCUGUAGUUGGCCUUUUGCCUUGCUGCUCCUUUGGCUGCCUGGGGAGCGUGGCCCCCUGUAACGGAGGGCGAGAGCCACCUCUCCGCACCUGAGUGGGAAAUGGAGCUCGCCGGACCCCAAGGCCACCCUGUAAGCAGGGUAGUGCCGUUUCCCUGCCCCUCUUCCUCCCCCGGCCCCUCGGCAUCGUUGCCUGAUGGUGGCUUGUCAAUGCGACGGCCCCGUACUCGGGGUGUGUGUCCCAAGCUUUGGAGCCCUCUGUCCCUGAGCAGCCCGCCCGCCCUGUAAUCAGGUGUGGGGAGGCUGCAGCGUUGCAGCCGGCUGCUUUAGCCAUCCAGCUGGUGGGAGUGACCCCUCCCUGUCCCGUCAGAGGGUGCAGGUUGAGGUGCUGUUUGUGUGUGGGGUGACCUCCCCGCUCGGUGGGUCGAGGUAGCUCCCUGGGCUUCCAAAGACGAGACGUUGGUGAUGUUCUGCUGCUGCCGGGCGGGCCAGCCUGUAACUCAGGCGUUGGCGGGAGCCUCGUGCUCCGCGGGGCUUCUUGAAGAGGGUGAGGUGUGGGGGUACCGUCCUGUAGGCAGGGCUGUGUGUGCCCCCCGUGUGUGCUUGGUGAGCUGCGUUCUGAGAGACCCCCUGUACUCAGGUGGGAAUGUGGCCCCGGCCUUUCAGAGGCGCGGGGCCGUGAGAUGCGGGGUGGGGCUUGCGCCCUCCCUGGAAUCGGGGCUGGGAUCCCGACUGCGGCCUUUGGCCGUGCCGCCCCGCUGCCUGGCUGCUGAGAGUUGCUCCUGCCGCUGGGGGGGAAACCGAGCUCUGUGGC